GCUCAACCGAGGAAGUGCUUCGAAAACUGGUAAACUUGAGUGCAGAAGAGGAAAGUGGAACUCCAUGUGUAGCGGUGGAAUGCGUAGAUAUAUGGAAGAACACCAGUGGCGAAGGCGGCUUUCUGGUCUGUAACUGACGCUGAGAUUCGAAGGCAUGGGUAGCAAACAGGAUUAGAUACCCUGGUAGUCCAUGCCGUAAACGAUGAGUGCUAAGUGUUGGAGGGUUUCCGCCCUUCAGUGCUGCAGCUAACGCAUUAAGCACUCCGCCUGGGGAGUACGAUCGCAAGAUUGAAACUCAAAGGAAUUGACGGGGGCCCGCACAAGCGGUGGAGCAUGUGGUUUAAUUCGAAGCAACGCGAAGAACCUUACCAGGUCUUGACAUACCAUGAAAAGCUAAGAGAUUAGUCUUUCCCUUCGGGGACAUGGAUACAGGUGGUGCAUGGUUGUCGUCAGCUCGUGUCGUGAGAUGUUGGGUUAAGUCCCGCAACGAGCGCAACCCUUAUUAUCAGUUGCCAGCAUUCAGUUGGGCACUCUGGUGAGACUGCCGGUGACAAACCGGAGGAAGGUGGGGACGACGUCAAAUCAUCAUGCCCCUUAUGACCUGGGCUACACACGUGCUACAAUGGUCGGUACAACG
RNAcentral lists this ribosomal RNA (637 nucleotides) under uncultured bacterium. Its description in RNAcentral is "bacterial SSU rRNA". It matches the Rfam family "Bacterial small subunit ribosomal RNA", at positions 607 to 1244 of the family's 1533-position model. The record is from RNAcentral.